AAUAGAUACCCGGGUAGUCCACGCCGUAAACGAUGAGUGCUAAGUGUUAGGGGGUUUCCGCCCCUUAGUGCUGCAGCUAACGCAUUAAGCACUCCGCCUGGGGAGUACGGUCGCAAGACUGAAACUCAAAGGAAUUGACGGGGGCCCGCACAAGCGGUGGAGCAUGUGGUUUAAUUCGAAGCAACGCGAAGAACCUUACCAGGUCUUGACAUCCCGUUGACCACUGUAGAGAUAUAGUUUCCCCCUUCGGGGGCAACGGUGACAGGUGGUGCAUGGUUGUCGUCAGCUCGUGUCGUGAGAUGUUGGGUUAAGUCCCGCAACGAGCGCAACCCUUGAUCUUAGUUGCCAUCAUUUAGUUGGGCACUCUAAGGUGACUGCCGGUGACGAAACCGGAGGAAGGUGGGGAUGACGUCAAAUCAUCAUGCCCCUUAUGACCUGGGCUACACACGUGCUACAAUGGACGAUACAAACGGUUGCCAACUCGCGAGAGGGAGCUAAUCCGAUAAAGUCGUUCUCAGUUCGGAUUGUAGGCUGCAACUCGCCUA
Molecule: ribosomal RNA, 545 nt
Filed under: uncultured bacterium
Lineage: Bacteria
Description: bacterial SSU rRNA
Rfam family: Bacterial small subunit ribosomal RNA
Source: RNAcentral